RNAcentral lists this long non-coding RNA (744 nucleotides) under Phoenix dactylifera (date palm). RNAcentral's name for it is "long non-coding RNA (PDAC_LNC012460)". The record is from RNAcentral. Lineage: Eukaryota; Viridiplantae; Streptophyta; Magnoliopsida; Arecales; Arecaceae.
AAAUCUCCUCAAUCAAGUCGAGAGUGAACCGACAUGAGCAAGUCAUAUUAGAUUAAUUGAUCUAAUUGGUGUCUAGAAAAGCAUGAAAGGUGGUUACUUAAUUAGGACCUUACUCUCUGAGUAAGGGGAGCCUCCCACCUGCUUACCUGGCCAAUUGUUUGAUUACCUCUUAUGAAGAGCUCAAGUUGCAAACACUAAGACCUGAUUAACCAAUAUUAAGUCAAUAGGUCUUCCACUGUAGUAGAGCUGCUAAGGCCUUUCUGAUGUUGAUUUGUCUCGGCUGGAUACAGUGGUCAAGUUGCAUCGGGGGGCUAGACCUCUCUAUAGACAUGAGAUGUUGUAGGGUAAAGGUGGGGUUGGGCACCAAUAACUGUUAGGUGAGGGCCCAAUGACGACUUUAUUCCUACGGUUAUACGGUGGGUCUGACUUAACUAAGAAAUGGGACCAAUAACUGUUAGGUGAGGUCUUCAUGGCUUAGAGACCAAGUUACACUGCAACAUGCUUGAGAAGCAUUGUACAAGAGUUGUACAUUCAUCAAUCUAUGUGUCACCAAUAACUGUUAGGUGAGGUGGCAUGUAAAUCGAUGGGACCGCAGUACCCACUAGAAACCUUAGUCGUGUGGGAUUUCCGUUUUCCUACCAGGGGAGUGUGAGGAAUUCGAGAAAAUAGUGGGAGUUACAUUUGUUCUAAAAGACCUUAGAACAGAUUAGGAUCAAGUACAAAAGUCUAACUAGAAUCUUUACU